AAAAAAAGGGGGAGGGGGUGGGAAAUGUUCCCCUUCUUUACACUUUUCUGGGAUCUCCUAGGAAACUUCCUGGGCUGCCUGCAGAGAACAGCCUAGCCAGCCUGAGCCAGGCCAGUUCCUGAAUGAGUAACCCCGCUUCGCAGAGAUGCGACCCAGGGGCGAGCUCGGGUGCAGAGUCGCCUGAGGCUAAGACCUAACACCGGGAGGAAGGGAGAGAAUGGAAAGCGAGGCUCUGGCAUCUCAGUGCCUCCCCUCUGCCCCAGAGCCAAAGCCACACACGUCAGGGUGGUGUCUGGGAUGCCUGCCCUCCACACGGGCAUCUCCGUAUAAUGUUUCAGGGCCGGGCCAGCGAACCCUCCGGCGUGCCAGGAGGACAGGCUGCCCCUCCAACAGCUGUGGUUCCAGAAGUCUUCCUGGGAGACGCCCAGGGCCCCUCCCAAGCUGGGGGUGCCAGGAGACCCAGCCUCCCAGUGCUGGGACAAGAAAAGGAGCCUUCCGCUAGGAGCCAGACACCCUGCGGCGGCGGCGUCAGGGAGCGCGGCAACCCAUCCACCUCCCAUCCCCACAGCGGCCGAGCCAAGCAGAGCCCGGAACUGCGUCCUCAACAGCUCCUCCCUGAUGCUGCGGGGCGCCGUGGUGGCUGUCCCCAUUUUACAGAUGAGAAGACUGAGUCCCAGAAUACAAAAAGGCAUUUUUCCGACCGUGAAAACAAAGUCAAGGAAACUUCUCUCCGAGACCUCGCUAAACACAGAGGUGGCUCUGCCAAGUGGAGGCGUUUUUUUCCUGGGAGAUCGCAGUCUGUCCGUCCGUCCGCAGAAGCGCUUGUUUUAAGAUCUUAAGUUUGGAGGGCGAGCCAGGGAAAUUCUGAGCCAGAGAUUUGUUUUCCGUCCAGUGGGGGAGCAGUUCCUAUGCACCAGAAAGUUGUGACAGUUAAAAAAAAAAAAGAAAUAAAUAAAUAAAUAAAAAGGAAAAAAAAGAGUACAAAGUGCUCAGACACAACACCUGGCCCAGGAUGAGUGUUCAGUACGUGUGCAAUGUAGAAGUAGCUAAAUAAUGCCGAUACCCAACCACUGUUGACCUACAGGAACGGCAAUUUGGUAUGGUUCAAUCUAAUGGUUAACGCUUCUAGAAAGCUGAGAAGGUUUUAGGAACUCAGAGCCAGCCUGGGGUGGGAGUAGUGUGGGGAGAGGGGGCGUGUCAGGGCAUCAAGAGGCCCAGUGAGGCCCCUGGGCCCAGAGCACGCACCCUGGCCCCAGCGGGACCUCCGGAGUCCUCCAGUGACUCACCCUCCCCUACUCUGAAGCCAGUUUCGCUUCCACAUUUGGAUGCAGGCUGAGCGCCUCGCCCCUCCCUCCUCCUGAAGGGGAGGGUGCUGAGGAUGGAGGGGAGGAAGGGCUCACCUAACUGGGCGGCACUCACUCCUUUCCUAGAUGUCUCUCCAGAGGAGGAGGAGGAGGAGGAGGACGCCACCUGGGACCAUGGCUUUGAACACUGGUUGCAAAAAUCUGAAGCUGCCAGCCUAUGAUUUGCCUUCUUUCACCUGGAAAUGUUUCUUCCUGGAAACAAACCGUGAAAGGGCAGGGAGGCCUCGCGGUCUGGCAACAUCCCUUUGAAAAUAAACAAGCGCGGGAGCUGGAAGGCAGCCGCCUCUCUGGGGACCACUUGGAGAAACAGUCUGAGGCCCGGGCAUCCGCCGCACGUGGCUCUCCGGCCCGCCAGACAGCAGAAAUUUCAUAUAAAUGGGAUCCAGUCUGCAGUCACGGGUGGAUUUCAAGCCCGAAUCUAACAAGGGAGCAAUGAGCCAGGACAGCAAGCACGCCCACCUGCACCCUGGGCCUUCCCUGCGUGCUGGGUCACCUGUGGCACCGUCGUAUCUGAAUCUCAGUCUUCACAUCUUUAAAAUGGGGCUACAGCUGAAACCGGUUUGGCUCAGUGGAUAGAGCGUCGGCCCGCGGACUGAAAUGUCCCAGGUUCAAUUCCGGUCAAGG
Long non-coding RNA from Pipistrellus kuhlii (Kuhl's pipistrelle), 1988 nucleotides. RefSeq lists it as uncharacterized. The transcript is spliced from 4 exons. Lineage: Eukaryota; Metazoa; Chordata; Mammalia; Chiroptera; Vespertilionidae. The record is from RefSeq and is a predicted model, not a curated record.